Molecule: long non-coding RNA, 884 nt
Filed under: Phoenix dactylifera (date palm)
Lineage: Eukaryota; Viridiplantae; Streptophyta; Magnoliopsida; Arecales; Arecaceae
Description: long non-coding RNA (PDAC_LNC003313)
Source: RNAcentral
CGGCUAUCAAACAAAAUUUUACAUGUCAUGUAUAGCACGCUACUGCUGAUGGCUGUCUAUUUUCUGAUGAUGAUUAUAUGUGGCACUCUGCAUGCAAAUUGCCCACCGCAAAGAAUCCUAGGUUAACUGCUCCUAGUCAGGUAUUUCCAUUGGCUUGUAAAAGGUGCACCAUAUCCGCGGUACACCAUGCCAAUCCGAUUUUAACACAUGAUCAGGUGUGCCACGUCAAAUUAAGAUGAGGGAGAAGAGAGUCGCUCCUCUUUCUCCUCCUAAUGAGAAAACCCUAGCACUCAUCCCUGAAUCUUAACCGUCUCUUCUCCUCCUCCUCCUCCUCCUCCUCCUCCUCCGCCAUAGCCGUGGUCGCUGCUGCGGUCUCCUCCUCCAUUGCCAUCGCUGUCUUCUUCACAUCAUCUCUCGUUUUCUCUUUCUUCGCCUUCUCCGUAGCUAUGGCGGCGGUGGCACGAUCUCCGGUGGUCGAACGAUGACCUCAUCCUCUUGCCUUGUCUCCAUCCUAGGAGCGCCGCGAGACUCGUCGUUAACCAGUUCCUUGCGUUCCUCUGAGCGAAUGAGCUCUAUGGUGGAGACGAUGCUCAAUUUCCUCUCCCUCCUUUGCCAUUUCACCUCCUCGAUCUUCCGCCAGAUUCGCCUCGUCCUCUGCCGCAGCUCCAUCCACGGCUCCAGCUUCCACUGUCCGUGACCCAUCAGAGAAUCAAGGUGAGAGAGAGAAGAUUGGCGGAGCGUGUUUUCCGAUAGCCGUUGCCGUUUUGGGGUGGGGGUGGUUUUCAGAUGGGGAUAUGAGAUCGGGGCGAUCUUGAUCGUCCGUUGCUGCGGCACAUGAUAGGGAUGGGAAUAAAAACAAAGACAAUCUGUUAAGGCUGACGCCC